RNAcentral lists this ribosomal RNA (253 nucleotides) under uncultured bacterium. Its description in RNAcentral is "partial 16S ribosomal RNA". It matches the Rfam family "Bacterial small subunit ribosomal RNA", at positions 524 to 776 of the family's 1533-position model. The record is from RNAcentral.
UACGGAGGGUGCAAGCGUUAUCCGGAUUUACUGGGUUUAAAGGGUGCGUAGGCGGUCCAUUAAGUCAGUGGUGAAAGCUCCGAGCUUAACUCGGAAACUGCCAUUGAUACUAUUGGUCUUGAAUUCGGUCGAGGUUGGCGGAAUGUGUCGUGUAGCGGUGAAAUGCUUAGAUAUGACACAGAACACCGAUUGCGAAGGCAGCUAGCUAGACCGACAUUGACGCUGAGGCACGAAAGCGUGGGGAGCAAACAGG